CCUGGGUGUCCUGUGGAUAUUAUCAUUCUGCCUUUGUUACUGUGGAUGGGGCCUUGUUCACAUUUGGAGAAAAGGACAGUGGGAAGCUGGGCUUGUCCAAAGAGAAGCUGGCCAAUCAUAAAGUGCCUCAACAGGUGACAGGCAUCUCUGAUAAAGUGGUACAGGUAUCCUGUGGAGGAGGGCACACAGUGGCACUUACGGAGCACGAGGUGUAUUCGUUCGGCCUGGGCCAGUUUGGACAGCUCGGUCACGGCACUUUCAUAUUUGAGUCACGUUUACCCAGAGUGGUUGAACAUUUCAGAAGGGGCAGAGUUAAACGUGUGGAGUGUGGAGAGAACCAUACAGCGCUGAUUACUGACAGUGGACUUUUGUACACCUUUGGUGAUGGUCGACAUGGAAAGCUGGGGCUUGGAGAAGAGAACUUCACCAACCAGUUCAAACCAACCCUAUGUCCAAGAUUCCUAGACUAUCAUGUACA
Long non-coding RNA from Sinocyclocheilus grahami, 478 nucleotides. RefSeq lists it as uncharacterized. The transcript is spliced from 4 exons. NCBI's taxonomy places the organism in Eukaryota, Metazoa, Chordata, Actinopteri, Cypriniformes, Cyprinidae. The record is from RefSeq and is a predicted model, not a curated record.